This is a non-coding RNA of Oryctolagus cuniculus (rabbit), 10555 nucleotides long. The record is from RefSeq and is a predicted model, not a curated record. Lineage: Eukaryota; Metazoa; Chordata; Mammalia; Lagomorpha; Leporidae.
AAAGAUUUGAUUUUCCAAAUAGUUUUUCAAUUCAAGUAAUAUGUGUUUAAAAUAUUAAUUAGGGAACCAAAUAAUAUGGAAAAUUCAACUGUUGCUUCUUUUUUGCACAUGUGGUGUAUCAAAAAUUAAAACAACACUAUCUUUACAGAUCAACUUACAUUUCUCAUAUUUGAAAUGACUCAAAGGCAUGGAGCCAUAUCAUUUUAAAAGAAAGAAUGAAAACUUUAAAAGGAAAUUAAGUUUGCACUGAUUACUUUUUAAUAUGUGCAUUUUAAGAUUUUUCCUUCUGUGAAUAAGAUCAUUUCUCCCUUCACAAUGUUUACAUUCUGGUUGGAGAGAUCAUAGCAUUAAAAAUUCCCAGUUUGAGCCAUGCGAAAUAUAUACAACAUCAUUUUGGAGAAACUAGAUUUUCUUUUUAAAGAUUUAUUUAUUUAUUUGAAAGUCAGAGUUACAUAGAGAGGAGAGAGAGAGAGAGAGAGAGAGAGAGAGAGGUCUUCCAUCUGCUGGUUCACUCCCUAAUUGGCCGCAGUGGCCGGAGCGCACUGAUUCGAAGCCAGGAGCCAGGAGCUUCUUCCAGGUCUCUUCUGUGGCUGCAGGGGCCCAAGGACUUGGGCCACCUUCUACUACUUUCCCAGACCAUAGCAGAGAGCUGGAUUGUUAAUGGAGCAGCUGGGUCUCGAACCGGCACCCAUAUGGGAUGCUGGCGCUUCAGGCCAGGGCAUUAACCUGUGCCACAGCGCCAGCCCCUAGAUUUUUUUAAAUCAACUUAUUUAUUGAAAGGUAGUGUUACAGAGAGGCAGUGAAAGAGAGAGAGAGAGACAGAGAGAGUCUUCCAUCUGCUGGUUCACUUCCCAAAUGGCCACAAUGGUUGGAGCUACACCAGUCCAAAGCCAGAGGCCAGUAGCUUCUUCCAGGUCUCCCAUGCAGGUGCAGGGGUUCAAGACUUGGGCCAUCUUCUGCUGCUUUCCCAGGCCACAGCAGAGAGCUGAAUCUGAAGUAGAGCAGCUGGGACUAGAACUGGCACCCAAAUAGGAAGCUGGCACCGCAAGCUUUACUUGCUAUGCCACAACACAGGCCUCAAGAAUUUUUUUUUUUACAAAAAUAAUUACAGCAAUCAUAAGAAUUUUUAAGAAUCAGUAAUUGUGCAAUCAUUUCAUCAGAUUUUAUAAAAAUUGUAUUUGUCUUUCUGCUGUCUCAUGUUAAUUCAUAAGUUAUCAUAGAGCUAAUUUAUUGAAAUAACUUAAAUAUUAGUUUCAUAGCCAUUAAUCAGACUGAAUUCUGUGGUCAAGGAUUUUUCUCUAUCACCUAUAACUUUGGGCCAUUUAGUAGGACAAAUAUAUUUAUUGUAAUUAUAUUCUCUGCAUACAGUUGGCAAAUUCAUUGCCCUAUGAUGCAAAAGAAUGUGGCAAGAACUAAGUAAAGUAAGUCUAUAGAAUUCUGCGAGAUUCUCCAAAAGGAGAUUUGAAUAUAACAGAAGUGUUAUUCAUUGGAGUUUAAAAAUUGUCUGACUCAGACAAGUUAGUUAAGUGACUAAAAUCUGAAACCCACACUGAAUUCCAGUGAAUGUCACUUUGAUUUUCACAACUAGUGAUAUAUAGGACUGUUCACCAGGAACUGAACAGAACCCAAAGUAAUCCUUAUUGAAUCCUUAGUUAUCUUGAUGUUGUAAUGCAUUUCUGUUUCUUGGGGUAGGACUUAGGUUCACAGAUGCUACACAGCAAUUUAGCAAUUAAUUGUCUAAGUUUUCUAUUCAUAAAAUGAUCAAAUUACAGUAGACUGAAGAUGUGGCAUUGUGUAUAUUAAAUAUUGAAUUUUAGCAUUAAGUAAACUACUUUAUUAAUUAAAAAGUUAAUUAAAAUGCAUAUUGAAAAGGAUGUUUUGUGACUUCAAAAAGGGCAAAUUUGGAAUUCGGGUAAAUUUAAAAGUUACUGGAAUACAGUUUCAUCCUUGGAGAUAGUAAUUAACUGAAUUAUAGGACCACUGUGAGUAUUCACAAAUUAUGUAAGUCAUUGACUACAUUUGACUUUUUAAUCUGGUCAUCUCAGUUGUUGCCUUUUCUUAAAUAUAAUGAAACAAAUAAUUAAAGUAUAUACAUAUACAUGCAUGCACAACCAGCAGUUAAGUGACUGUUUAUGUAAAGUAUACUAGCUAUUUUACAUGCUUAAUUAAUAUUAGGGAACUAUAAACUAUGGAGUCUGUUGAGCUACUUACUCUCUUGAAAUCAAUUUAGUUUACAGUAAUGGCAUACCACAGAUUCUUAUUAAGGAAUUGUUUUAAAACCUAAGAGGUGCUAGAGUGUACUGUAGCAUAAAACAUGUUUGGUAGCUUAUACCUGUGCAUUGCUUCACAUUUUUGCUAAAAUGAUACAACAUCCCAUUGUAGAUAUGUCCCAAUGUAUAGAGGUCCAUCUGCUGAUUUUAAAGAAGACUUAAAAUGUGCAUCCUUUUCUUUUAUGGUAUUCUCUCUGGACAGACUUUUUUUUUUCAAUUUAGUCAUCAUUUUGUGGUUUGAAAUUAGCACAUUACUUUCUUAAUGACAGUGUCUAAUAUUUGGUUUAUUUGGUUGAUUCACUUACACAUACUUUCAUAUUUCAGGAACAUUUUGGUACAUUUGGUUUAACUGUUUGUCUUGUUUUUAAUAUUUAUUCACUUAUCUUAAUGAAAAAUCUUAAGGCUGGAACAGAAUUUACCAUAUUAAGAAAUGUAUUAUUAUAAAAUAUUUAUUACCAAAUAAAUAUAUUAACUUAUACUUAUUAUAUUCAGCUACAUUUAAUAAACUAGUUGAGAACUGUCUACACUUAACCUCAAGAAGUGAUUAAUAAUUUUGUAGGACACAGAGCUGUGUCAAAAUAAGGACUUACUUAUUUCAAAUUUUAGUGUUUUCUAUUAAUUUAAUUCAAAACAAAAAUAAUUCUGGUUUCCACUGGCUCUAAUAAUAUUAUACCCUUAAAACAAGUAUGCUAACUGAGAUAUUGUGGAUAUUUUGAAUGUCUUCCCUACCUAGGGACCUAAUUCUUUUGGCAAACCAUCAUGCCAACAGUUCCCUCUCUUAAGAACAAAUUUGCAAUAAAGACUCUUCUUGGGGGGCUGGCUCUGUGCUUUUGUGGGUAAAGCUGCUGUCUGUAGUGCCGGCAUCCUAUAUGUGCACUGGUUCGUGUUCUGCUGCUCCACUUCCCAUCCAGCUCUCUGCUAUGGCCUGGAAAAGCAGUAGAAGAUGGCCCAAGUCCUUGAGCCCCUGCACCUGCGUGGGAGACCUAGAAGAAGCUCCUGGCUCCUGGCUUCGGAUCGGGGCAGCUCUGGCUGUUGCAGCCAAGUGGAGAGUUGAACCAGUGGCUGGAAGACUUCUCUCUCUAUGUCUCUCCUCUCUCUGUGUAACUCUGACUUUCAAAUAAAUAAAUAAAACUUAAAAAAAAUAGACUCUUCCCUGUGCCUAAACUUCAGUAGUAGUGCUUCACAACUGUGCAAGGUCAAGUGAUCCCCCAACACUGAUCUUGCAUAAUCUGUGAGCACUUUAGAUUUUAGCUUUGUGGAUCCUAAGUAAAUCUAGACUGAGUGUCGAAACCAGCUUUUAACAUGAAGCCAUAAUCAAAAACACCCUAUAGAAAAAAUUAUUGAAAAUGAAUUUAUUAUUUCUGGAAUGCUAUAGUCCAAAUGUUUGAGCAUUCAGCACCCCCCUCCUUGCAAUUCAUAUACUGAAACUCAACUCCCAGUGAGAUAAAAUUAAGAGGUAGGGCCUUUAGGAGGUGAUACGGUUAUAGGGGCCCUUCCUCAUGAAUGGGAUCAGUGUCUAUAUAAUAGACUUUAGCUAGCUUCCUUCCUCCCCCAAGUGAGGAUGCCAUGAGAAGAGGUCUGACCCAGAAGGUGACCUUUAGUAAGCACCAAAUCAGCCUAUAGCUAGGAUUUCCCAGUCUUCAAAAUGAGAAAUAGAUUUCUAGUGUUUAUAAGCCACCUGCUUGUGAUAUUUUUGUUAUAGCAGACUAAACAGACUGAUACAGCUAAGCUUCUUGAAAAGCUAUAAAAGAAGAGUUACAUUUCAUGCUCUAUGUCUUCUGGAAAACCACUUUUAUGUUCCUCUUGUUAAAGAUUCAACAUUCUACAAUUCUCUUUCGUUUGUUUUGUUAAACUCCUCAAAUCAUUUUAUCUUUCCUCUGGCUAUAAGACAGAUCUGCUUUUGUCACACCUACCCAUACCUCUGACACACAUGAAUUUAUGCACACUUCCUCAAUAUGUGAUUUGCUCCUUAAGGUAGCUUUCUUCUAUGCCAAACAUUUUGCUUCUCUGAGUUUUCUGGUUCUUUUUUUUUUUUUUUUUAAGAUUUAUUUAUUUGAAAGCAGUGUUAGAGAGAGAGAAGCAGACAUCAAUUUACCUUCUGCUUGUUCAUUUCUUAAAUGGAUGAAAUGGCUGUGGCUGGGUCAGGAUGAAGCCAGGAGCUUUAUGUAGAUCUUCCACAUAGGUUCAGGGGCCCAAGCACUUGGGCCAUUUUCUGCUGCUUUCCCAGGCACAUCAGCAGGGAGCUGGAUUGGAAGUGGAGCAGCUGAGAUUUGAACCUGCACCCAUAUGGGAUUCUAGUAUCACAGGCAGCAACUUAACUCACCACACCACAAUGCCUGCCCCCAUGUUUUCUAUUUCUUGUUCACGCAGUCAAUGGCUAUGUAAUAUGAAGAGAAGAGUAGGAAGUGAGGGAAAUUUCUUGUUCUAUAUUUUCUUUUGCUUAUUAUAUUUAUCUCUUUUGACGUUGUUGGAACAUCUUCCUGCUCUUUACAUGGGAAUGAUCUACACUAUCUAUCUAUUACUGUCACUCAGUUUGUUAUAUCAAAGUAGGAUGAAGGCUACAUUUUUGGAAUAGCCUAUGUAAGACUUUUUUUUUUACAAUUUUGAAGCCAAUAAAAGUAAGUCUGCCCUGGGGCAUCUAAUAAGCAGCUUACUAAGGACUGAGGAGAGGCAGAGGAAGAAAAAUGGAUCAUGUUCGCAUAAAACUCAUGGUCUACCAGGAAAGAUAAAUUUUAUAAUAUAAUUAGCUAUUGUAUGAGCUUCAGUUGCUGUAGGAAAUUUAUAGACCUAAUUGAAAAUUGAAAAGGGCAUUUACAGCGAUUCUGAUUUUGGUGGACCAAAAACUUUGAAUCAUGCCUUGUAGACUGUGUAGUGUAUGACAGAGGACUCAGGAACUGUUGAGAAAAGUGAACCAUAGGUUUGUGCAUGGCCUCUGCUCAUUUGUGUGAUUCAGGUGUUGUAGGAGUACAGAUUGUGUACGAGAAAUUUUCAAAAUCUUCAUGGAAAAUAUACUUUAUGAAAAAAAGCUGUAUAGAUUUCCAAAUGUUUUGCAAAAAGAAAAGUCUUUUAUUUUCCAUAAAUUUUUUUGAAAACCCACAGUACAUUAAACCUGCAUUUUCUUAAAUAUUUAUUCAAGAUAGGAGUAGAGAACUAUGAUGAUUUUAGCAGGAAAACAUUUACAUACAGAAAUCCACAAGAAAAAUCCGAACAUAUAAUUACUCAGAGUAGAAAUUGCUUUUAAUAUUUGUUUUAGUGGAAAACUUUAUCAGAUUUUGCCAUCUCAUACAGAUAAUUCUGGAUAGAUAUAGUUUUUUCCACUGAACUACUAUGUUUAAAUCUUUUAAACCCAUAUGUCAUGCAAAAAUUCCAUGCAAAAAAAAAAAACAUGCAAAUCUUCAUAUUAAUUUAACACAACUCCCAACUGGUCCAACUGUAUUUUGAAAAUGCAUUUCCUGUUCCUGUAUCUAAAGGUCAUUGUGCUUUCAUUCUUUAAUUUCCACCAUAUCUAUUGUUGUUAAAAACUGAUUUUAUUAUGAAAUGACAAAGAUAGGUACCUGAAGGACAAUCCUGAGAAAAGUUCCUUAGAAAUUAUCAUUAGGUUUUUGCCCAAGAAAAUAUAUGCUAUGCGUAAUUUAUGUAAGAGUACUAAAAUGUCGAAAAAUUAAAAGAAUAAAACUAGCAAACUGGCACUUUUCAAUGCUUUAGGCUCUGUUACCAAAGAAUAUUCCUCUUUUAAACAAUCACAAAGAAUUUAAAGACAACCAAAAAUAAUAGGCUCAUUCUCACAUGCUAAGAAUUUAAGAAUUAGUUGCAUGACGAAGAAAAUAUUCCUUGUAAAUACCACAAGUAAAGAAGGCUAUUAAGUUACCAUAUACAGGCCAGCAAUGUGGCACAGUAUGUUAAUCCUCUGCCUGCGGCGGUAGCAUCCAUAUGGGCGCCGGUUCUAGUCCCGGCUGCUCCUCUUCCAGUCCAGCUCUCUGCUAUGGCCUGGGAAAGCAGUAGAAAAUGGCCCAGGCCCUUGGGUCCCUGCACCCACGUGGGAGAUCGGGAAGAAGCACCUGGCUCCUGGCUUCAGAUCGGCGCAGCUCCAGCCAUCGCAGCCAACUGGGGAGUGAACCAGUGGAUGGAAGACCUCUCUCUCUCUCUCUCUCUCUCUCUCUCUCACUGUUUGUAACUCUACCUCUCAAAUAAAUAAAUAAAUCUUUAAAAAAAAAAGUUACCAUAUACAAAAAUGCCUGCUUGGAGGAAAUCAGACUAAAGGUGGCACCAGGGCUCAGUUAGGACCCACAGUCUUCUUGGUCAAUUACUCUGCCAUCUUUUAUUUUGCCUUUUAUCAAAAUUCUUGCCUUUCCACUGCUGGUAAAAGGGUGGUUGUCAUAGCUUUGGAUAUUCUCUCUACUCAAGGAAAGGGAGGAAAAGGGAUUCCAGGAGGAAAUUCCUUAGAGUGGCUCUCACCUUUUGUCACUGGAGAAGAAAUUCUAGACUCUCUCCAACAGUCUUGCUAACAUUUCGUUGGUCAGAACUAGCUCAUAUCUCCAUCUCUAGCUGCAAGAGACUAGCAAGAUAAUUUCUGGCAAGGGGGGUAUGCUAGACAUGACUGUUUAGAUCAAUUAUAAGGCAUCCUUUAUAAAUGAAUGCAUUAUCUUCCUGAAUAAAACACAGUUCUGUUUUGAAGAAAAACAUGUCUUUGGUGGGUAGUGGUGGCAAAUUGUGGGGGAAGUAAAUUGGUUAGUGGAUAGUGUCUUUCACAUUCAGGAAGAUUCUAGCCAAGCUUUCAUAGCUAGCAAUUGCAGAAUGGGAUUGUGCCACAUAUUUAGAGACAAGUUCACAAAUUGUUUACAUAUAGCAUGAGAGCUUUUGAAGCAGAAAUUGGUAGUUUUUUUUUUUUUCUUGAUGGUAUUAUUGUUAGAGGAGUUAGCUGUACUUUUAAUAAUUGAGAUUAUGCUCUUAGUUAACUUUCAAAGUUAAAAAAACUUGUUUUUUCUAUAUUACAUUUAUUAAGACAGAAAAAAACUAUCCUGAUGCAUCACUAAUAGCAUGUAUUGCAUCACAAAAUGCUGGCAUUGUGUUUUCCAACUUGACAAUGCUCUUUAAACACUUAAAGUUUAACAUGUAAAUGCUUUUUGCCAAAAUUUAAAAAAUGAGAUUGCCUCCAAAAAUAGAAGUGUUAGAUAAAUAUGAAAUGACACUUAUACUUCAUUUUAAAAAGAACAGUCUUCUUUUCCAGUUCUUUGUGUAAAAAUUAGGUAAUUAUAGAAUAUACUCCAGGUAAUUAAGAAGAUUUUAUCUACUUAGUAGUUAAUAAAAAAAAUAACCAGUGAGAAACAUUUUCAAGGAAAUCCAUAUAGAAUUUUUGGUUGUAUCUCUGAAGUUAUUUUAAUUAUAUCUUUUCUUUAAGGACACCUGUUGAAAUAAAAUUGAGAUAAUUAUUUUUAAAUUAAAAAUGUGUUCUUAAUAUUAGUUAACAUUUAGCAGGCCCUGAUAUCAAUGUGGCUUCUAGUAUUAGUCCAUUUUUGCACAUAAAUGAAAUAUGUUAAUAGCAUAGAAACCACAUAGCCACUUAAAAUUCUUGAAAGGUGAAAUUUUAUAUGAUGAAAUUUCCCUGGAGGCCAUGAAUAAGUUAGGAACAAGAAUACCAAGUGGGUAGUACUUUGUAUUGCUAGUUCAGUUUUCAUUUAGUCAGCUUACAUAUUCUGGUUUCUCAGUUGCAUAUGAUUCAUAUAAAUAAUUCACAUACUUGGUUCAAAAUGUGAAAAUAAUUGGCAAGAGAUUAUUUGGAAUAUUUUUGUUUCCAAUGUUGAAUACAUCUACUAUACAAGAAAGCCUUGAAUAUUUUUGAAAAAAUUAGGUUCUCAUUAUCUUUCCUAAGUAUGAUUAUUUUCUUCUUAUACCUGCAAUAUCUGCAUGAUUUACAGUUGUGAUAUCAAAGUGAUCAGGCAGGAGUGUGCAAGAGCUUUGUUCUUGGACAUACUCCUGAGUCUCAAUUUUCUCACCUUAAAAUGACAGUGACAAUAACUAAAUUACACGGUUGUUGUGAGGGUUGGCUAUAACACAGGUGAAGAGUAUCUUAUUCUCAUAUCAACUUGGAACAGCAAUUAUUAUUGUAAUCUACAGAGGAAAAACUGAACUUCUAAGUUGUGUUUAUAAAUAUAAAUAAUACUUUCAAAGACAUUUAGAAGUACAAUUUUCAACUUUGUCUUUGUUCUGAAAAAGACUAGUUUUUAAGUAGAUCAUCAAUUUAAUUAUGCUGUACAUCUUUUAAAAUAUAAUUUGAUGAACGAAAUUGUUAAUAUUUACACAUGUUCUCAUUACCCACUUAAAUGGGAAAUAGAUCUGACACUGUUUUUAUUUGUGAUAAUAGCUUACAAAUACACGUUUCGGGUAUGUGAAGAAGCCAGCCAUAUGCUGGCUCUUCUCAGGAGGUCCACCUUAGUGUAUGAUUCAGUUACUGACCUUUUGCGCUUAGAUUCUUAAACAUGUUAUGAGUGCUAGAGCAAGCCUAAACCAUGUUAUUUUUGUUAUGCCAGCUACAUACAAAUGUAUUUCAUCAAUCACGCCACACUCCUAAAAGAUCUUCAUUGUUUCCCUUCCAUCUAUAGUGUAAGAGCUAAACUCCUACCAUUAAAUUUGGUAUUGUAUUACAUUACAAAUGCUACAUUAUAUUGCAAGCAUGAUAACCUCCCAUCAGUUUAUCGUUCCAUACAUCUAUUUUGGACCACGCUUGUCUGUGAACAGGGUGCCCAUUUGGAAGACUCCCUCCUUUGUUUCAGCCCAUUGGAAUUGAAGCCUGUUCUGUUUGUGUUUAUUCUUUUGGUGAAGCAUAGAAUGCCCCUUUUUCAUUUCCAUUCCUUCAAAACUCAUUGAAAUGUUGAAUAUUUUCCUUGAUAUAGUGAAGGAAUAUAUAUUUUAUGCUGAAUUUUUAUACUGUCUUCUCUGUCUUCAGAUACAAUAUAUUUUUGCUUUACGUUUCAUUUUUCUCCAUGUUUUAUUAAAUUUACGUGUUUAUUUGAAUAGGGAGAGAGAGAGGGAGGGAGGGAUAGAGAAAGAAAGAGAAAUCUCAAAUCAACUAUUUCUCUCCCAAAUGCUUGCAACAACUGGAACUGGACCAGGAUGAAACCGGGAGCCUGAAGCUCAGUCUGGGUCUCCCACAUGGGCAGCAGGAGCACACGCUCUCUUGAGCCAUCAGUGCUGUCUCCCAGGGUAUGCAUUAGCAGGAAGCUGGAAUCAGAGGUGGAGCCAGAACUUGGAGCAGGUACUGAUUUGGGAUGCAAGCAUCCCAAACAUCAGUUUAACCACUGAUCAAAUUAUUUUUUCUCAUAUUUUAUAGUUAUAUCUAUUUUAUGUAUGAGUUUAUAAACCCCUUGAGGGAAUGCUAUAUGUUUUAUAAUUUUACGUAUAUUUCACAGUAUCUAUCAAAGAUUAUUAUAGAUUAUAAAUAAAAAAUUCUAGAAAUAACUUUAGUAUUGAUCAUAUAAUUAAUGGUUGCAUGAUUCUUGCCAUAUUUUUCCUUUUAAUAAUAUAAGUUUUGGUGCCAGCACUGUGGCAUAGCAGGCAAAGACACCAGCUGCAGUGCCAGCAUCCCAUAUGGGUGCUGGUUCAAGUCCCGGCUGCCCCAUUUCUGAUCCAGAUUUCUGCUAAUGGCCUGGGAAAGCAAUGGGAGAUGGCCCAAGUACUUGGGCCCCUGCACUUGCAUGGGAGACCUGGAUGAAGCUCCUGGCUCCUGGCUUUGGAUCAGCCCAGCUCCAGCCAUUGCGGCCAUUUUUAAUGAACCAGCAGAUAGAAGACAUCUCUCUCUCUUUCUGCCUCUGUCUCUCUUUAACUCUGCCUUUCAAUAAAUAAAUAAAUCUUUUAAAAAUUGCAUAAUAAAAAAUAAGCUUCAUGAAGUUAGGAACUUUUAUCUGCUGUUCUCAUAAUGUAUUUACAGUGUUUGAAAAUAGUAUCAGGGCCCCCGUCAUGGCAUAACAGAUAAAGCCUCCGCCUGCGAUGCCAGGCUCCCAUAUGAGUCCUGGUUCAUGUCCUGGCUGCUUCACUUCCCUUCUAGUUCCCCGCUAAUAGCCUAGGACAAGUAAUGGAAAAUGGUCCAAGUGCUUGGGCCACUGCCACCUGCAUGAGACAACCAGAUGAAGCUCCUGGCUCCUGACUUUGACCUGAACAAGCCCUGGCUGCUGCAGGAUUUGGGAGAUGAACCACUGGAUGGAAGAUCUCUCUCUCUCUCAAUCUGUCUCUCUCUUUCUGUAACUAUCUCUCCCUCUUUCUCUAUAACUCUGCCUUUCAAAUAAAUAAAU